RNAcentral lists this unclassified non-coding RNA (154 nucleotides) under Dentiscutata erythropus. Its description in RNAcentral is "partial internal transcribed spacer region". The stretch from base 1 to 46 matches the Rfam family "Eukaryotic small subunit ribosomal RNA", at positions 1786 to 1831 of the family's 1831-position model. Lineage: Eukaryota; Fungi; Glomeromycota; Glomeromycetes; Diversisporales; Gigasporaceae. The record is from RNAcentral.
AAGUCGUAACAAGGUUUCCGUAGGUGAACCUGCGGAAGGAUCAUUAGAAAAUUGAGGUAUUCGUAUCUCUUUGUAUUUAAAACCUUACUCUAUAAAACUUUAUAUAUAUAAAAUAUAAAUAUAAAAACUUUCAACAAUGGAUCUCUUGGCUCUC